UGAUAUAUAUAUAUAUAUCAUUUCUCUUUGCUUUUAAGGGAUUUGUUUGACGAAGGGAAUCUUAUAAUAAAAUAUAUGUAUAAUGAUAUCGAUGACUUAUGAUAUGUGUCAGAAAAAGGUAACGAGAUUUACUCUUUAUUAUAAUGAAAUUGGCUUGAAAAUUGUGUCUGAUUGAAAUAAUAUGGAAUUUUUUCGUAGCAGUGAGCUGCGCAACGGAAGGUUAAAGAGGUUUUGGUUGGUGAAGCGAGCGUGUAAUAACUUGAUUAUAAUUCGAUUAAGCGUGAUUAUAUAUAUAGAAAGAGAAAUGUAACAGCAUACAUUUGUUCACUGUAGCAUUAUAGUUAAUGAAUGGAUCUGGUUUCAGGGGCGGAGAGAUAUGUAUUUUAAUACAUUACAAUUCUUUCGCUAUAUUUGGAGCAUAUUAAAAUUUCAAAAGAAAUAAUGACAUGCUUAAGUAAGUGAAUAUUUUUUUCAUAAUAUUCGUUUCUGUCAGAAAAAUAUACGGAAGAAUUCGUUUCAUCCAAAAGGCGAAAGGAGUACUAAACUUUAGUAAAUGUAAUAAAAUAUAACAAAAAUAUAAUUAAUUAUUUAUGGAAUCUUACAAAUCAGCUUUAUGCAACUAAUUGUAAGUAUUAAAUACAGAUACAUUCAAUGAAAAUCAAAGUGAUUCUACAUAGAGAACAUUUAGAAUUAAUUUGUUAACUGCUGAGUCACUAGACUGGAAAUGAUCUGAUGAGCUGUAUGUAUAACAAAAUACUAAUUUAUACAAAAACAAUUCUGCUACUUUCGAUGUUACUGUUGAGAUAAAAACUAGAUAUAGUGUAAAGUACGUGGGCGGAAUUAUCAAAUGUUUGAAACGAAUUACAACAGAUUCUCAUUUUCUUGAACCACAUUUAUUGGAAUGAAAUGUUGGUUAAUAGUUAAAUCCCCUUGUCUGAAUAUAAUUUAUUAUUAUUUGGAUGAAAAAUUGCAGAUAGAGAAAAUUAUUGUAGCAACUAACUGUUUAUGCGGCUAGAAUUCAUUAAUUUCCCUCGCUAUCUGCGAUUUGUCCACGGAAAUAAAGUUCUAGUGUAAUUCGGACUUUAUUCGGAUUUCAUUAUGUACGCGUAAUGAUUUAAAUGAUUUCAAAUGGUACAUUAGUGCCUGCUUCAGGAGUGGAGACUUUUUAAACGUUUCAAAGUUACCUUCAUCUUCUUUGAUAUAACUAUAUGCUGUUUUAUGAAUUAAUUAAAAUAAUGUUGAAUUCUAUAGAAGGAAGUAAGCUUUUUCAAAACAAGUUCAAAAGAAAUUUAGAACUAGUUACUGUAAUCAUAUACUCUUUCCAUUCCAUUAAUAGAAAUAUAUAAAUUAUACAGUUCAUUUUAAAACAUCAUAUUCUCAAAUUGAAAAAAGAACAGUUAAAUUGCAUGUAACUUUUAAACUUUUUUAUAGUUUCAUUUGCUAUGGCCUACAAGGAAAUGGAACUAUUUGUCCACAACUGCAAACAUUCAUAAUUUGUAAAAUACUUCAAAUUAAUCUAAUUAGUCAAUUCAAUGGAAGAAGAUCGAUUAGUACUGGAAUUAACUGCUGUUUUGAUUGAAUAACAUAGAAACGGAAAAACAACAGUGGAAGCUGUAGAAUAAUUGAAAACGAAGUAAUAUUAUAUCAAGGACAGCAUAGAAGAUGCUUGAACGCUUUUCGUCAUUACUUUUUGCUAAUCCGUGGUUACCGUUUCGACAAUUGUUACAUAUUUGCCACAAACGCAAUGAGAAUUCGUGGGGACCGAGUGUAAAUAGUAAUAGUGAAACUUUCGUCUCAUUUAUUAUCAAAACUAUUAUCAGUUCACAAGACAAUGCAAGCAAUUUUUAAUAGAAUCAUCUUUAAUUAAGAACAGACUUCACUUACUAGUAAUAAAACUUCUUCUGACACAAAACUAUCUAAAAUUGUUAGAAAAAUCAAGAUCAAAAUAUGCCCCUAAUUGUGGUACCAUUUCUGGCUUCCUUUGACACAAAACAGUCCAAUGCUGCACGAAACACUAUCAAAAUUAUAUCAGAUUUAGCGGAAAAAAUGAAUACAUUCUAUUAAGAAAAGAAAACUACAAAUUACAUAAGAAUGCAAUGGCUGAAAAUCAGUAACAUUUUCACCAUGAUCUUAAUACACAAAACAUCUUUUACCUAAUCUAAACCUAUUCCAAAAAGAUGGAAAGUAAAUAAAUGAGAAGUCAAGAGAAAGUAUAAUGGCAAGAGAAAGGUCCAAACAGAGAGAUCCUCCACCGGUGCACCAAAAAUUCACAAGAAGACUGAAUCACUCACCAUGUCGUAAAUGUAGUUGUUAUGACUAUCGAAAAUCUUUCUCGACGGUCUCCGGAUGUGUCAAGCUCCUCCCCUUGGUGGGUGGAUUCCGGUGAAUUUGUUGCACAAAAUGAAGAAGAAGAAGAAA
Bombus terrestris (buff-tailed bumblebee) is the source of this 2418-nucleotide long non-coding RNA. RefSeq lists it as uncharacterized. NCBI's taxonomy places the organism in Eukaryota, Metazoa, Arthropoda, Insecta, Hymenoptera, Apidae. The record is from RefSeq and is a predicted model, not a curated record. The transcript has 3 exons.